Molecule: ribosomal RNA, 269 nt
Filed under: unidentified marine bacterioplankton
Lineage: Bacteria
Description: partial 16S ribosomal RNA
Rfam family: Bacterial small subunit ribosomal RNA
Source: RNAcentral
AUGUUAGCUUGCUAACAGGCGUCGAGUGGCGGACGGGUGAGUAACGCGUAGGAAUCUACCAAAUAGCGGGGGAUAGCCCGGAGAAAUCCGGGAUUAAUACCGCAUAAUCUCUACGGAGUAAAGGGGGCCUCUAUUUAUAAGCUUUCACUAUUUGAUGAGCCUGCGUAAGAUUAGCUUGUUGGUGAGGUAAGAGCUCACCAAGGCGACGACCUUUAGCUGGCCUGAGAUGAUGAUCAGCCACACUGGGACUGAGACACGGCCCAGACUCC